UACGGGGGGGGCAAGCGUUGUUCGGAAUUACUGGGCGUAAAGGGCGCGUAGGCGGCUCUUCAAGUCAGCCGUGAAAUCUCCAGGCUUAACCUGGAAGGGUCGGUUGAUACUGUCGAGCUAGAGUGUGGAAGAGGCAACUGGAAUUCCGUGUGUAGCGGUGAAAUGCGUAGAUAUACGGAGGAACACCUGCGGCGAAGGCGGGUUGCUGGGCCAACACUGACGCUGAGGCGCGAAAGCUAGGGGAGCAAACAGG
RNAcentral lists this ribosomal RNA (253 nucleotides) under uncultured bacterium. RNAcentral describes it as "partial 16S ribosomal RNA". It matches the Rfam family "Bacterial small subunit ribosomal RNA", at positions 524 to 776 of the family's 1533-position model. The record is from RNAcentral.